This 467-nucleotide ribosomal RNA is filed under the name uncultured bacterium. RNAcentral describes it as "partial 16S ribosomal RNA". It matches the Rfam family "Bacterial small subunit ribosomal RNA", at positions 28 to 507 of the family's 1533-position model. The record is from RNAcentral.
GAUGAACGCUGGCGGCGUGCUUAACACAUGCAAGUCGAACGGAAAGGCCUCUGCUUGCAGGGGUACUCGAGUGGCGAACGGGUGAGUAACACGUGGGUGAUCUGCCCUGCACUUCGGGAUAAGCCUGGGAAACUGGGUCUAAUACCGGAUAGGACAAUGGUUUGGAUGCUGUUGUGGAAAGUUUUUCGGUGUGGGAUGAGCUCGCGGCCUAUCAGCUUGUUGGUGGGGUAAUGGCCUACCAAGGCGUCGACGGGUAGCCGGCCUGAGAGGGUGUACGGCCACAUUGGGACGCAGAUACGGGCCAGACUCCGACGGGAGGCAGCAGUGGGGAAUAUUGCACAAUGGGCGCAAGCCUGAUGCAGGGAGGCCGCGUGGGGGAUGACGGCCUUCGGGUUGUAAGCUCCUAUCGCUAGGGAAGAAGCGUUUUUGUGACGGUACCUGGAGAAGAAGCACCGGCUAACUACGUG